This 402-nucleotide long non-coding RNA is filed under the name Mustela putorius furo (domestic ferret). RNAcentral describes it as "lncRNA (ENSMPUG00000029193.1)". The record is from RNAcentral. Lineage: Eukaryota; Metazoa; Chordata; Mammalia; Carnivora; Mustelidae.
AAUUGAGUAAUUAAUUACUUACGGCACCUUCCCUCUGCUGCGCUCCAGGUGGAACACCCACUGCUUCCGUGACCGGCAUUUUUCUACCUACAGACCUCAAGGAGAGCAACCAGCAACCAGGAGACCAACCAGUGUCCAUCGAGGACAGGCAAGAACUGGUCUGGGAAGAGCUUUAUGUCAAUAGCACGCUCUAAUCUCUAGGAAGAGCCAGUGAACCCCUCUGCCAAUCCUUUUCACAUACACACUGGAGGAGGAAAAGGAAGACCAAGAGGAAGAGGAAGAAGAAGAAGAAGAAGAGAAACGUUGAUAUGGGUCAAAGCCAAGGAAACAUUUGGGCCAUAGUGGUAAAUCAAUAAAGGAUUAAAAGCUUUUCUGCAUUAGUUCCUUUUUCCUGUUGAUAUU